Molecule: ribosomal RNA, 333 nt
Filed under: uncultured bacterium
Lineage: Bacteria
Description: bacterial SSU rRNA
Rfam family: Bacterial small subunit ribosomal RNA
Source: RNAcentral
CAUGUAGGCGGCCCAUCAAGUGCCUUGUGAAAUCCCCCGGCUCAACCGGGGAACUGCUUGGCAUACUGUUCGGGCUUGAGGUAGGUAGGGGCGCGUGGAACUCUUGGUGGAGCGGUGGAAUGCGUAGAUAUCAAGAGGAACGCCGGUGGCGAAAGCGACGCGCUGGGCCUGUCCUGACGCUGAGAUGCGAAAGCCAGGGGAGCAAACGGGAUUAGAUACCCCGGUAGUCCUGGCCCUAAACGAUGUCUACUAGGUCGGAGUCACUCUGACGUGCUUCUGGCCGAAACAAAAGCGUUAAGUAGACCGCCUGGGGAGUACGGUCGCAAGGCUAAA